This 249-nucleotide long non-coding RNA is filed under the name Brassica napus (rape). Its description in RNAcentral is "long non-coding RNA (BNAP_LNC018296)". Lineage: Eukaryota; Viridiplantae; Streptophyta; Magnoliopsida; Brassicales; Brassicaceae. The record is from RNAcentral.
UGAAAUUUUUUGAAAUUAGGGAUUUUGGGUGAAUAGAGACGUGAAAACAAAAAGAAAAAAAAAAUUGAUUCAGAGAGAGAAAUCAAAGUGAAGGUAUAAAAUGUCAUCAAGGUGAGGAAAAUCUUUAUCGGAGCUACGGCCAAAUCGCAACAUAAGCACUAUAUCGAUCGUGUCUCUGAUCAUCCGGUCGAUUUCCUUCUUCGUUAGCGUUGGAAUCCAUCUCUCCACAUAUCUUAUUCCAAAUUUUUU